Molecule: ribosomal RNA, 484 nt
Filed under: uncultured bacterium
Lineage: Bacteria
Description: partial 16S ribosomal RNA
Rfam family: Bacterial small subunit ribosomal RNA
Source: RNAcentral
AUUGAACGCUGGCGGCAUGCCUUACACAUGCAAGUCGAACGGCAGCGCGGGAGCAAUCCUGGCGGCGAGUGGCGAACGGGCGAGUAAUACAUCGGAACGUGCCCAAUCGUGGGGGAUAACGCAGCGAAAGCUGUGCUAAUACCGCAUACGAUCUACGGAUGAAAGCAGGGGAUCGCAAGACCUUGCGCGAAUGGAGCGGCCGAUGGCAGAUUAGGUAGUUGGUGAGGUAAAGGCUCACCAAGCCUUCGAUCUGUAGCUGGUCUGAGAGGACGACCAGCCACACUGGGACUGAGACACGGCCCAGACUCCUACGGGAGGCAGCAGUGGGGAAUUUUGGACAAUGGGCGAAAGCCUGAUCCAGCCAUGCCGCGUGCAGGAUGAAGGCCUUCGGGUUGUAAACUGCUUUUGUACGGAACGAAACGGUCUUUUCUAAUAAAGAAGGCUAAUGACGGUACCGUAAGAAUAAGCACCGGCUAACUACGUG